AGGACGAACGCUGGCGGCGUGCUUAACACAUGCAAGUCGAGGGCACUUAUGCAGCAAUGUGUGAGUGACCGGCGAACGGGUGCGUAACACGUGAGCGACCUUGCCUCGUGGUGGGGGAUAGCCGGCCCAACGGCCGGGUAAUACCGCAUAUGGUAGUUUCUUCGCAUGGGGAGACUAGCAAAGCCUUGCAGCAAUGCAAUGGCGCCACAGGGGGGGCUCGCGGCCUAUCAGCUAGUUGGGGGGGUAAUGGCCCACCAAGGCGACGACGGGUA
This 272-nucleotide ribosomal RNA is filed under the name uncultured bacterium. RNAcentral describes it as "partial small subunit ribosomal RNA". It matches the Rfam family "Bacterial small subunit ribosomal RNA", at positions 26 to 285 of the family's 1533-position model. The record is from RNAcentral.